GAAGGGAACGGACGUCAGGUUGGUGGGCUGCUCGCCGGACGUCAGGUUGACGAAGGGAACGGACGUCAGGUUGGUGGGCUGCUCGCCGGACGUCAGGUUGACGAAGGAAACGGACGUCAGGUUGGAGGGCUGAUCGCCGGACGUCAGGUUGGAGGGUUGAUCGCCGGACGUCAGGUUGGAGGGCUGAUCGCCGGACGUCAGGUUGGAGGGCUGAUCGCCGGACGUCAGG
Long non-coding RNA from Sander lucioperca (pikeperch), 229 nucleotides. RefSeq lists it as uncharacterized. The record is from RefSeq and is a predicted model, not a curated record. Lineage: Eukaryota; Metazoa; Chordata; Actinopteri; Perciformes; Percidae. The transcript has 3 exons.